CCUUUGUACACACCGCCCGUCGCUACUACCGAUUGAAUGACUCAGUGAGGCGUCCGGACUGGCCUAGAGAGGUGGGCAACUACCACUCAGGGCCGGAAAGUUCUCCAAACUCGGUUAUUUAGAGG
Molecule: ribosomal RNA, 125 nt
Filed under: Parasarocladium radiatum
Lineage: Eukaryota; Fungi; Ascomycota; Sordariomycetes; Hypocreales; Sarocladiaceae
Description: partial small subunit ribosomal RNA
Rfam family: Eukaryotic small subunit ribosomal RNA
Source: RNAcentral